RNAcentral lists this long non-coding RNA (866 nucleotides) under Fukomys damarensis (Damara mole-rat). RNAcentral's name for it is "lncRNA (ENSFDAG00000026656.1)". Lineage: Eukaryota; Metazoa; Chordata; Mammalia; Rodentia; Bathyergidae. The record is from RNAcentral.
GGAGAUUUGCCUACCUGUGCUUUGUCAGGAGGUGGAACUACUCAUCACUGGACAACUCCACAGCACGCUGUGAGAGGCACCCUGAAUGAGGCAAUGCAGGAAGAGACACUUCUCCCUCUGAGAGAGAGACAGGGAGAGGAGUAGGUGGGAUCCUGGGGACAGGGGAUCUGCUGUGGGCUAAUGAGAGGGAGGGCUGCCCUAUGACCACUCCCUCACCCUCUGGACAGGAACAACCCUGAGGGUAGCUUCCUCCCAGGGACCAAACAGGGUGGCUGUCCUUCACCUGCCAUGUGGCACUAACAGAUCCCUUCCUACCUUCCUUCCAGUGCCCGGUGUCCCUGUCUGCAACACAGGGAGAUGAUGACUAUCUGUCACCAUUUGCACUACUGAGAGCUGAAGUACCCAUCCUUUUGAAGGAAUCCCAAGUUAUCCCAUGCUCUGCCCACCCACCGAGCUGCUUUCUGACAGAGCAGGAGUAUGAGAGGGCAGAAGACAGACAGAUUUGGAGGAAGGAGCUGCCAAGAGAGCAUUUCAGGGAGUGGAAGAGUAGAAGGGGUCAGAUGCUGCUGAGCCAUCAGGAAUGAAACCCGAGAGACAGCCACUGGAUUUGUGAAGAGGCAGUCACUGGUGACCUUUGCGAGUUGUGUUUCAGUACAGCAGUGGGGACAAGCGUUCCUUGCAGAGCACCAAGCAGGGAGUGAUACCAGAUAGAGACCUUGGGUGACAUCACCAGCGAAAAGACAGGAAGAGAUGGAGACAAAUUUUCAAGCUUUUCUUCUGAGAUUCUCCCAAAAUAAUGGGAUCUUUUCUUUAUUUGAAGGAGUGAAAUGCGCCCCCCUUCCUUUGUUUUGAUAGACAAAAAUAAC